UGGUGGAGUGAUUUGUCUGCUUAAUUGCGAUAACGAACGAGACCUUAACCUGCUAAAUAGCCAGGCCCGCUUUGGCGGGUCGCAGGCUUCUUAGAGGGACUAUCGGAUUUCAAGACGAUGGAAGUUUGAGGCAAUAACA
RNAcentral lists this ribosomal RNA (139 nucleotides) under uncultured eukaryote. Its description in RNAcentral is "partial 18S ribosomal RNA". It matches the Rfam family "Eukaryotic small subunit ribosomal RNA", at positions 1299 to 1458 of the family's 1831-position model. The record is from RNAcentral.